UCUGUCGUGUUUCUCUUCAGACCGAAUGAAUCUUUCCCCUUUUAUUAAAGAUUUCCGCGGAGAGGAGCGACAUGAGGCCGAAUCAACUUUUAAUUCUUUCAAUUAAACAAACUUUUUUUUUUUU
This 124-nucleotide small nuclear RNA is filed under the name Echeneis naucrates (live sharksucker). Its description in RNAcentral is "U5 spliceosomal RNA (ENSENLG00000017795.1)". It matches the Rfam family "U5 spliceosomal RNA". From Rfam's summary of the family: U5 RNA is a component of both types of known spliceosome. The precise function of this molecule is unknown, though it is known that the 5' loop is required for splice site selection and p220 binding, and that both the 3' stem-loop and the Sm site are important for Sm protein binding and cap methylation. Lineage: Eukaryota; Metazoa; Chordata; Actinopteri; Carangiformes; Echeneidae. The record is from RNAcentral.